CAAGUUACUGCAGUUGUUCGUCACUUUGUUUUAUUAUGUUUUUUUUUAACUGUCACUUAUCAAGUGGACACUGUUUAUUAAGAUAACGAUGACGUGAUGUUAAUAAUAAUAAUACGAUAAUACGUCAAUUCAGCGGAUAAUUCAACGUCUAAAACACAAGGAAUGGACUUUUACAAGAAAAUGACUUCCGGUGCCAAGACGCCAUUUUCAAGUAAAGCUGGUUUGGACGUUUGGUCCUGACGGUGGACGUCCUGCUGAGAUCCUGCUUGAAUGUGAAGAAAUUAAAUGUUGGGAGGAUGGCAGUAUCAGAUCCCAGGAGUCACCGGAGUACUUAGGUGGAGACUGAGUGAUUGACAGCCAGACAGAAGAGUCAGAGCGCGGGAAACGGACCAUUUGUCAAGACCAAAACCAAAUCCAGAGGCAGCAUCUGUUCAGAUGUCAGUGUAAGAAAAGGAAGUGAGCACCACCCUGUGGUGGAGCGGCUGUAUUGCUCUGUAGUUGUCCUGCAGCAUCUUCCCGUCAUCAUCUUCAGC
Molecule: long non-coding RNA, 533 nt
Organism: Cynoglossus semilaevis (tongue sole)
Lineage: Eukaryota; Metazoa; Chordata; Actinopteri; Pleuronectiformes; Cynoglossidae
Exons: 5
Source: RefSeq, a predicted model, not a curated record